This 235-nucleotide long non-coding RNA is filed under the name Hordeum vulgare. RNAcentral describes it as "long non-coding RNA (HVUL_LNC002078)". Lineage: Eukaryota; Viridiplantae; Streptophyta; Magnoliopsida; Poales; Poaceae. The record is from RNAcentral.
UUUCUUUUUUUUUCCUCUUAUUCUUCUUCUCCUUCUUCUUCUUUUCUUCUUGUCUUCUUCUUCUUAUUCUUCUUCUUCUUCUUCUUCUUCUUCUUAUUCUUAUUCUUAUUUUCCUUUUUCUUUUUUCCUCUUAUUCUUCUUCUCCUUCUUCUUGUUUUCUUCUUCUCUUCUUCUUCUUCUUCUUCUUAUUAUUAUUAUUAUUAUUUUCUUUUUUCCUCUUAUUCUUCUCUUCCUC